This is a long non-coding RNA of Passer domesticus (house sparrow), 404 nucleotides long. RefSeq lists it as uncharacterized. NCBI's taxonomy places the organism in Eukaryota, Metazoa, Chordata, Aves, Passeriformes, Passeridae. The record is from RefSeq and is a predicted model, not a curated record. The transcript has 3 exons.
UGGUUCCCCUGGGGUUCUGCAUGGAAUGUUGGGCUGUGCCUGUAGCAACUGCCCUUGUCUGCUGAUCCUGCGGCCGUUGGUGGAACACUGGUGGAGCAGCUGGAGCAGCAGCUGCAGCAUCUGCUCCUGGCUGUCCCUCAGCAGCCACCUUCUGCACUCGGCACCACAGCUGGCCUCUGCAGUGACAUCCUCAUCUCCUCGUCUACUGCCAAGCAUCCCCACAGCACUUUGGCACUGUGCAAGGUGGAAAGGAGAGGCACAAUGAAAAGGAAAGCAAGAGCCCACACUGAGCCACACAUCAAUGUUGGCAGUGACUUUCAGGCCGAGCUCCCUGAGCUGCAGACCGGGCCGCCAAGUGAGGAUGAAGAGCCUGCAACCCUGGUCUGGAAGCCCUUGGAGGAAGA